AGUGAACGCUGGCGGUAGGCCUAACACAUGCAAGUCGAACGGCAGCACAGUAAGAGCUUGCUCUUACGGGUGGCGAGUGGCGGACGGGUGAGGAAUACAUCGGAAUCUACUUUUUCGUGGGGGAUAACGUAGGGAAACUUACGCUAAUACCGCAUACGACCUACGGGUGAAAGCAGGGGAUCUUCGGACCUUGCGCGAUUGAAUGAGCCGAUGUCGGAUUAGCUAGUUGGCUGGGUAAAGGCCCACCAAGGCGAAGAUCCGUAGCUGGUCUGAGAGGAUGGUCAGCCACACUGGAACUGGGACACGGUCCAAACUCCCAAGGGAGGCAGGCGUGGGGAAUAUUGGAGAAUGGGCGCAAGCCUGAUCCAGCCAUACCGGGUGGGUGAAGAAGGCCUUCGGGUUGUAAAGCCCUUUUGUUGGGAAAGAAAAGCAGCAGGUUAAUACCCCGCUGUUCUGACGGUACCCAAAGAAUAAGCACCGGCUAACUUCGUG
This 492-nucleotide ribosomal RNA is filed under the name uncultured bacterium. RNAcentral's name for it is "partial 16S ribosomal RNA". It matches the Rfam family "Bacterial small subunit ribosomal RNA", at positions 29 to 507 of the family's 1533-position model. The record is from RNAcentral.